CGGAACGGGUGAGUAACGCGUGAGGAACCUGCCUCAAAGAGGGGGACAACAGUUGGAAACGACUGCUAAUACCGCAUAAGCCCACGGCUCGGCAUCGGGCAGAGGGAAAAGGAGUGAUCCGCUUUGAGAUGGCCUCGCGUCCGAUUAGCUAGUUGGUGAGGUAACGGCCCACCAAGGCAACGAUCGGUAGCCGGACUGAGAGGUUGAACGGCCACAUUGGGACUGAGACACGGCCCAG
Molecule: ribosomal RNA, 238 nt
Filed under: uncultured bacterium
Lineage: Bacteria
Description: partial 16S ribosomal RNA
Rfam family: Bacterial small subunit ribosomal RNA
Source: RNAcentral